Molecule: transfer RNA, 77 nt
Filed under: Salmonella sp. FORC89
Lineage: Bacteria; Pseudomonadati; Pseudomonadota; Gammaproteobacteria; Enterobacterales; Enterobacteriaceae
Description: tRNA-Val
Source: RNAcentral
CCGCCUGCCCAAAACGUAAACCGGUAGCCAGCCAGAAAGAUUUGCUGGUAAACAUCGCGCCCAAUGUAUUUUCUGAC